This 313-nucleotide ribosomal RNA is filed under the name uncultured Methanosaeta sp. Its description in RNAcentral is "bacterial SSU rRNA". It matches the Rfam family "Archaeal small subunit ribosomal RNA", at positions 1024 to 1338 of the family's 1478-position model. Lineage: Archaea; Methanobacteriati; Methanobacteriota; Methanomicrobia; Methanotrichales; Methanotrichaceae. The record is from RNAcentral.
UCCUGUUAAGUCAGGCAACGAGCGAGACCCACGCCCACAGUUGCCAGCGUACUCUCUGGAGUGACGGGUACACUGUGGGGACCGCCGCUGCUAAAGCGGAGGAAGGAAUGGGCAACGGUAGGUCAGUAUGCCCCGAAUAUCCCGGGCUACACGCGAGCUACAAUGGUUGGUACAAUGGGUAUCUACCCCGAAAGGGGACGGGAAUCUCCUAAACCAAUCUUAGUUCGGAUUGAGGGCUGCAACUCGCCCUCAUGAAGCUGGAAUCCGUAGUAAUCGCGUUCAACAGAACGCGGUGAAUACGUCCCUGCUCCUU